UGAGCGUAAAUAAAACACCUUUUAUCUAAGCACCAUAUUGAUCACUCAUUAUUCAUGUUUCGAUUAAUCAACUUAAUACUUGAAUUGAAACAGUAGUGAUGCCAUGCUCCAAGCAUGCAUACUAUGUUUCUCUAAACAAUAGCUAUGCCAUACUCCAAGUAUGCACACUAUGUUUACAUAUGGUCAUCUCUUUGUGAAAUGUAUAUCAAUUGAACAUGACUUCAAUGAUUCUCAUUUCACAAUCCCAAUCCUUAUUGUAAAUGUAAGAAUACCAAGUUCUUGUCAUUUACCGUAAUCUAUGCAAUGAUCCUCUUGUAAUGAUAUUCACACAAGUCACAAAGACUUGGCAACAAACGCUACAAAGUAUUCCAAUGGAAAGCAAUUCCAUGGAGAUGAAGUCUCAAAUUCAAAGUACAUUCCUUUGAACAUCCUUCUUUGCAUUAAGUUCUUUAAUCUUACACAGAUUCAAAAAAUAACUUCCACCUAUGGAAAAAAUUCCAUAUUCCCAUAUUGACCAUCACUUUUGAACAACAGUUGCCUCUUUCCAAAAUAUGUCAAUACGAUCCUUACUCUAUACUUCCAAUUGUCCAUGAGUAACCAAACUUUGGAAAACCCCAAAUUGUUCUCGACAAUUGCUUAAUCAUCUUAGUCAUAUCCAGUUCUAAUCCCUUUUCCCUUCUUAACGCCCUAAGCAUUAGGAAAAUUUAGAAUGGAUGAAUAUUAUAACACAUGCAAUCGAUCCUAUAUCCGAAGCAUAUGGGAUACGAUUCAUGCUAUAAAAUUUUUAUUUGCCAUGUUCUCAUAAUUCGAACUAUGAAGAGGGAUGCCGUAAUCAUAAUCGAAUUUUGAGAAAGCAACAUAUAUAGAAAUUCCUUAUGUUGAACCAUUCCAACAUAACAUUCAUAUAUAUUCUUGACUAAAGUUGAUUAAAAUCUCAAUCUAAGCUUGUAAAAUUGGAAUGAAGUAUAAAUUUCUCUCCCUUAAUUAUAGUAAAACAACUUUUCCAAAGCGAGUUGAAACAUUUGUUUUCUAUAAUUAACAUUGCUAACUCGCAACAUAAUCAUCAUGCUCCCACUAGCAUAAUGAUUAUUAUCUAACUAGCAUAACACUUUAUGCUCCUAAUAGCUUUGACAUGUACCUAGAAAUCAGUCAGAUUUCUGAUACUAGAUUGCCUUGAUAAGACUUUAUCAAAUCAUACACCUGGAGUCUAAACCUUUCCUUAGAUAGCUCACAUGUGAGUCUAAACCUUUUCAUUCUCAUUAGUUAGUGUGACGGUUAACCACGCAUGCUCCANGUCAAAACAUUCAAAGUGAAACACAAAAUAAUACUAGUCCUAUAUGGCCUUAACACUUUGAGCGUAAAUAAAACACCUUUUAUCUGAGCACUAUAUUGAUCACUCAUUAUUCAAGUUUCGAUUAAUCAACUUAAUACUUGAAUUGAAAUAGUAGUGAUGCCAUGCUCCAAGCAUGCAUACUAUGUUUCUCUAAACAAUAUCUAUGCCAUACUCCAAGUAUGCACACUAUGUUUACAUGUGGUCAUCUCUUUGUGAAAUGUAUAUCAAUUGAACAUGACUUCAAUGAUUCUCAUUUCACAAUCCCAAUCCUUAUUGUAAAUGUAAGAAUACCAAGUUCUUGUCAUUUACCGUAAUCUAUGCAAUGAUCCUCUUGUAAUGAUAUUCACACAAGUCACAAAGACUUGGCAACAAACAUUACAAAGUAUUCCAAUGGAAAGCAAUUCCAUGGAGAUGAAGUCUCAAAUUCAAAGUACAUUCCUUUGAACAUCCUUCUUUGCAUUAAGUUCUUUAAUCUUACACAGAUUCAAAGAAUAACUUCCACCUAUGGAAACAAUUCCAUAUUCCCAUCUUGACCAUCACUUUUGAACAAGAGUUGCCUCUUUCCAAAAUAUGUCAAUACGAUCCUUACUCUAUACUUCCAAUUGUCCAUGAGUAACCAAACUUUGGAAAACCCC
This 1968-nucleotide long non-coding RNA is filed under the name Lactuca sativa (garden lettuce). RNAcentral's name for it is "long non-coding RNA (LSAT_LNC000870)". The record is from RNAcentral. Lineage: Eukaryota; Viridiplantae; Streptophyta; Magnoliopsida; Asterales; Asteraceae.